RNAcentral lists this ribosomal RNA (256 nucleotides) under uncultured bacterium. RNAcentral describes it as "partial 16S ribosomal RNA". It matches the Rfam family "Bacterial small subunit ribosomal RNA", at positions 524 to 776 of the family's 1533-position model. The record is from RNAcentral.
UACGUAGGGUGCGAGCGUUAAUCGGAAUUACUGGGCGUAAAGCGUGCGCAGGCGGUUCGUUGUGUCGGCGGUGAAAGCCCCGGGCUCAACCUGGGAAUGGCCGUUGAAACUGGCGAACUGGAGUGUGGCAGAGGGGGGGUGGAAUUCCGCGUGUAGCAGUGAAAUGCGUAGAGAUGCGGAGGAACACCGAUGGCGAAGGCAGCCCCCCUGGGCUGACACUGACGCUCGAGGCACGAAAGCGUGGGGAGCAAACAGG